UGCAGUCGAGCGGACAGAUGGGAGCUUGCUCCCUGAUGUUAGCGGCGGACGGGUGAGUAACACGUGGGUAACCUGCCUGUAAGACUGGGAUAACUCCGGGAAACCGGGGCUAAUACCGGAUGGUUGUUUGAACCGCAUGGUUCAAACAUAAAAGGUGGCUUCGGCUACCACUUACAGAUGGACCCGCGGCGCAUUAGCUAGUUGGUGAGGUAACGGCUCACCAAGGCAACGAUGCGUAGCCGACCUGAGAGGGUGAUCGGCCACACUGGGACUGAGACACGGCCCAGACUCCUACGGGAGGCAGCAGUAGGGAAUCUUCCGCAAUGGACGAAAGUCUGACGGAGCAACGCCGCGUGAGUGAUGAAGGUUUUCGGAUCGUAAAGCUCUGUUGUUAGGGAAGAACAAGUACCGUUCGAAUAGGGCGGUACCUUGACGGUACCUAACCAGAAAGCCACGGCUAACUACGUGCCAGCAGCCGCGGUAAUACGUAGGUGGCAAGCGUUGUCCGGAAUUAUUGGGCGUAAAGGGCUCGCAGGCGGUUUCUUAAGUCUGAUGUGAAAGCCCCCGGCUCAACCGGGGAGGGUCAUUGGAAACUGGGGAACUUGAGUGCAGAAGAGGAGAGUGGAAUUCCACGUGUAGCGGUGAAAUGCGUAGAGAUGUGGAGGAACACCAGUG
Molecule: ribosomal RNA, 675 nt
Filed under: Bacillus subtilis
Lineage: Bacteria; Bacillati; Bacillota; Bacilli; Caryophanales; Bacillaceae
Description: bacterial SSU rRNA
Rfam family: Bacterial small subunit ribosomal RNA
Source: RNAcentral